AUGUGAAGAAGAAAUGUUGGUGCUAUAUGAACAUUUACAAAAUUAAAAGAUCAUAAAGAACUGUGCGGAAGCCUCAAACUUUGCGGGAAGAUGAAAAUGAACAAUGUACACUCAGAAGAUUGUAUUUAUAUUUGAUCAAAUAUUGUUUUAUAAUUUUGAAUAUGUAUGCUAUAGAAUAUUUUAAUGAAAAAUAUUGGAGAACUUGUUUUAAAUUUUAGGGAAUGGCUAUUCAUGUUUGAGGGCAAACAUUAUUUUUCAAAGGUGGGGAGAGUGUAACAAAAUGGGGGUUCUUUGAAAUGGAACUUGUUUUCCCUAAAAUUGUGUGAUGAUGUUGUUAAAACCUUACCGUUUAUUGACUGUUUUUAUUUUA
Molecule: long non-coding RNA, 370 nt
Filed under: Mytilus galloprovincialis (Mediterranean mussel)
Lineage: Eukaryota; Metazoa; Mollusca; Bivalvia; Mytilida; Mytilidae
Source: RNAcentral